ACUUUUGUGCCGUUGUAUUCUGAAGUUAGGGUCCUGAGAAACGAUGCUUAAGUCUUCUGGAAAGGAGCGCCAUGGAGGGUGAUAGCCCCGUCUAGCAUUGACCUCAUAUAGGAUCUUAACAUGGAGUCGAGUUGUUUGGGAAUGCAGCUCAAAUGGGUGGUAUGCUCCAUCUAAAGCUAAAUAUCUGCGAGAGACCGAUAGUAAACAAGUACUGUGAGGGAAAGAUGAAAAGAACUUUGAAAAGAGAGUGAAAAAGUACGUGAAAUUGUUGAAAUGGAAGGGUAGGCCGCUAACCAUGUAGAGCCGUGUUUGGGGGGAAGAUAAAUGCUGUAGAAUGUAGCUCCUCGGAGUAUUAUAGAUGCAGUUCAUAUUCCCACCCGAGCGCGAGGAU
Molecule: ribosomal RNA, 391 nt
Filed under: Starmerella bacillaris
Lineage: Eukaryota; Fungi; Ascomycota; Dipodascomycetes; Dipodascales; Trichomonascaceae
Description: partial large subunit ribosomal RNA
Rfam family: Eukaryotic large subunit ribosomal RNA
Source: RNAcentral